GGAGGGGUGCGCCGAAUUGGCAAGGCACAUGCCUGGAGAGCAUGGUCCCCGAAAGGGGAUUGUGGGUUCGAGUCCCACCCCCUCCG
RNAcentral lists this transfer RNA (86 nucleotides) under Candidatus Parcubacteria bacterium. RNAcentral's name for it is "tRNA-Ser". It matches the Rfam family "tRNA". From Rfam's summary of the family: Transfer RNA (tRNA) molecules are approximately 80 nucleotides in length. Lineage: Bacteria; Candidatus Parcubacteria. The record is from RNAcentral.